This 332-nucleotide unclassified non-coding RNA is filed under the name soil metagenome. RNAcentral's name for it is "partial contains 5.8S ribosomal RNA, internal transcribed spacer 2, and large subunit ribosomal RNA". The stretch from base 1 to 120 matches the Rfam family "5.8S ribosomal RNA", at positions 35 to 154 of the family's 154-position model. The record is from RNAcentral.
GAUGAAGAACGCAGCAAAAUGCGAUAAGUAAUGUGAAUUGCAGAAUUCAGUGAAUCAUCGAAUCUUUGAACGCACAUUGCGCCCGCCAGUAUUCUGGCGGGCAUGCCUGUUCGAGCGUCAUUUCAACCCUCAAGCACAGCUUGGUGUUGGGACUCGCGUUAAUUCGCGUUCCCCAAAUUGAUUGGCGGUCACGUCGAGCUUCCAUAGCGUAGUAGUAAAACCCUCGUUACUGGUAAUCGUCGCGGUCACGCCGUUAAACCCCAACUUCUGAAUGUUGACCUCGGAUCAGGUAGGAAUACCCGCUGAACUUAAGCAUAUCAAUAAGCGGAGGA